GGGCUCUUAGCUCAGCUGGUUAGAGUGCCUGCUUGACAUGCAGGAGGUCGUUGGUUCAAGUCCAAUAGGGCCCACCA
Molecule: transfer RNA, 77 nt
Filed under: Eubacteriales bacterium
Lineage: Bacteria; Bacillati; Bacillota; Clostridia; Eubacteriales
Description: tRNA-Val
Rfam family: tRNA
About the family: Transfer RNA (tRNA) molecules are approximately 80 nucleotides in length. Their secondary structure includes four short double-helical elements and three loops (D, anti-codon, and T loops).
Source: RNAcentral